Molecule: long non-coding RNA, 910 nt
Organism: Pogonomyrmex barbatus (red harvester ant)
Lineage: Eukaryota; Metazoa; Arthropoda; Insecta; Hymenoptera; Formicidae
Source: RefSeq, a predicted model, not a curated record
UAUUGCAUUUUAUAUGUUUGACUAUAAAGUCUUUCAUUCUUUACUCUUCAUCAACAUUUAUUGUUUUCGAUCAUAUUAUUAUAUUAAUCCGCUAUAUGUUUCGAAUUCAUGCGCAAUAUAUAUUUCCGGACAUCUUAAGAGAAAGAAGUAUCAAAAAGUACGUUUGUUUAAUCUCUCGCGGACACUGUUUUUUAUGUAGAAACUAUAGCAAUUGCCAGUCCAUAUCUAUAAGGUCUAUGGUACGGAUCAAAUUUAAUAUGCUAUUUCCAUCGAAAGAUUUGUGGAUCGAAGCGAGAUUGAAAUGAACGCAAUUUGUCGCGUUUCCAUCGACUCAAAUCUGGUUUACGUCAUAUUAAGCCAGCGGCACACGAUGCUUUUUUUCCUGCUGAUUUGCUAGCUGGAUUUGCGUGCUCGUUAUCUCUUGUCUCUGAUUGGUAUAUUCUUUUGGAUCUAAAAAAAUGUACCAAUCGAAGACAAGAGUUCAACAAGCACGCGAUCCAGCUAGCAAAUUAGCAAGAAAAAAAGCAUCAUGUGUCGCUGGUUUUAGAAGUAAAUUAAGACAUCGAUGAAAACUAGACCGGUAUGACAGAUUUCCUAACCAAAAAAGUGAUCAACUUUAACAUUUAAUAUCUCGGUUCGCGAGGCAGAGCGCCGCGUUUUUUUGUCAGAUUCUUUUAUUUUGAGUGAAAUCGCGUCGAUUAAGUCCGAUUUUGUCAAAAUCGGAGUCGAUUUGCUAAAAUGAAAUGGCGGAAGUUCAAUCAUAGCAAAAACUUUCAAUCAUAGCAAAAAAGUGGACGAUAUCAAAAUCAAAUUUAUAAGAAGACUGCACAGUAAAUUAAUUUUAUCAUCGUUAGUGAUAUUAUUACCUUCUUGCAACCAAAGUUUAAAUUGCAAUUUGAUUUAAAAACGA